ACUGGUGCCCCAAGCUGAGAAGGCUAAGGCGUGUCGGCAUAUGCUAGCUAAGGGAAUUCGGCAAAAUAGCCACGUAACUUCGGGAUAAGUGGUGCCUGCUUUGCAAGAAGCAGGUCGCAGCGACGAGGGGACUCUAACUGUCUGAUAACAACAUAGGUGAUUGCGAAUCCGUAAGGACUAGUACAAUCACUGAAUCCUGCCCAGUGCAGGUACCUGAAAACCCGGUUCAACGGGAAGAAGGGCCUGUCAACGGCGGGGGUAACAAUGACCCUCUUAAGGUAGCGUAGUACCUUGCCGCUUAAUUGGCGGCUUGCAUGAAUGGAUCAAUGAGAGUCCCACUGUCCCUAGCUGGUACCCGGUGAACCUUACGUUCCAGUGCAGAGUCUGGAGACCCCUAAUGGGAAGUGAAGACCCCGUGGAGCUUUACUGCAGCCUGCCGUUGGGUUGUGGUUUUGAUUGUAGAGCAUAGGUAGGAGACGUCGAAGCUCGGGCGCCAGUCCGAGUGGAGUCGCCCUUGGAAUACUACCCUUUCGAAGCUACCGCCCUAACUCUGAGAAGAGGACCUCGGUAGGUGGGCAGUUUGGGUGGGGCGCCACGCCCUUGAAAAGAUAUCAAGGGCGCCCUAAGGUUGACUCAGUUGGGUCGGAAACCCAACAAAGAGUGUAAAGGCAUAAGUCAGCCUGAUGUUACCUCGCAUAGCAAGAGGUGAUAAGACGAAAGUCAGGCUUAGCGAACCUCUCAGCUCUCUUGGUGAGAGCGUUAGAUGACAGAAAAGCUACCCCGGGGAUAACAGAGUCGUCACCGGCAAGAGCACAUAUCGACCCGGUGGCUUGCUACCUCGAUGUCGGUUCUUUCCAUCCUGGCCGUGCAGCAGCGGCCAAGGGUGAGGUUGUUCGCCUAUUAAAGGAGAUCGUGAGCUGGGUUUAGACCGUCGUGAGACAGGUCGGUUACUAUCUGUUAGGGGUGUAUUGCGGUCUGAGGGCAGGUUGGUUUUAGUACGAGAGGAACAAGCCAACGGCACCUCUGGUCUAUCGGCUGUCUGGCAAGGCACGCCGAGCAGCUACGUGCUCGCGGAUAAGGGCUGAAAGCAUCUAAGCCCGAAACCGUCCCUGAAAAGAGACCGCUUAGAGUACUCGUAAAAGACGAGUUUGAUAGAGCUGGUGUGUAAGCACCAAGGCAACGAGGUGUUCAGCUCGCAGCUACUAACAACUCCGCAGCC
This 1219-nucleotide ribosomal RNA is filed under the name metagenome. RNAcentral's name for it is "bacterial LSU rRNA". It matches the Rfam family "Archaeal large subunit ribosomal RNA", at positions 1753 to 2973 of the family's 2987-position model. The record is from RNAcentral.